UUUUUUUUUUUUGAGAUGGAGUCUUGCUCUGUCGCCCAGGCUAGAGUGCAAUGGCAUGAUCUUGGCUCACUGCAACCUCCACCUCCGGGGUUCAAGCAAUUCUCCCUGCCUCAGCCUCCCAAGUAGCUGGGAUUACCGGUGCCCACCACCAUGCCCGACUAGUUUUUGUAUUUUUAGUAGAGAUGGGGUUCCGCCAUGUUGACCAGGUUGAACUUGAACUCCUGACCUCCGGUGAUCUUCCCUCCUUGGCCUCCUUAAGUGCUGGGAUUACUGAUUCCCAUUUUGAAGAACUGGUUUUGGUUUUGGCGUGGAAGCAAAGGAUGCCACUUAGGAAGUGAGAGAAAGGGUCACAGGUGGGUAUAGGAUUUGCUGGUGGGUUGGAUAUGAGGAUCGAGAAGCAGAGGAAGCAAAGGAUGACUGCUAAAUUUUGGGGUGAUUUGGGUGAAGCUUUAGGAAAGAAGUACAGAAGUACAGAGGGUUGACCACAGGACUCUGGUUUCAGGGAAGAGAUCCAACCUGGAGAUCAUGCUUUUGGAUUCAUCAGUUACCAGGGCAGUUGCGCUGGUGGACCUCUGGGGCAUUCUUGAGUGACUUCUCUUAGUUUAUGAUGAUGAUAGUUGUACUGACGGAAGGUGUGAAAGCCAAAAUUCACCUAGUACUUAUAAGGUGUCAGGCACUGAUCUGAGCGCUUUGUGUGCAUAAUCUGAUUGACUCCAUACAAUUCCUUAAUAUCCCAUUUUUGCAGCUUAAGGAAACUGAAGCACCAAAAGGUAAGUGUCACGACUCGUUUUUAGAGAAGCGUUUCAUUGUGGGGAUGCAGCCUACUCUGCAAUAGCACACUGGGCUGCCUUUGCACAUGAGUCUUUAUGCCCGAGGAACCCUUUCUUCCUCAGCCGUUGCAUUGUGCACAUUCAACAGCUGGGUGUUGUAAAAGAAUAAUGCUUGACAUGAACUCUGGGGACACGGGUUCAAGUCCAGUCUGUUAUUUACGGGACGCUUUGUUUUGGGAACAUGAACAUAUAGAGUUCACAGGAUGUUUUUCAGGCGAAGUUGAUCCAUGUCUGCCGUCUUUGCUUUGCCAUCCGUUCCUUCUCCAGUUACCAGCCGGCUUCUGCCAGCCUAACCCCUUCUAGCCAACUCUCAUUUCCUGGCUGUGCCAGCCUGAUUACUUCUAAUUGUCUUUGACUGCUUCCAGCUGGGUCUUCUAGCUGGCGUUCUGUGAGAGCACAGAGGCAGUCUCCCAGCCAUAUGGGGCGAGGAGAUGGGGAAGGAAAAGGGAAGGAAGGAAGCAGCUGGUACAAGUCAACUGAGAAAGCUUCCCCAGGCUUCACAGCCCACUGGGAUUGGUCCUGUUUCUGAAAGGGUUAACUCAUCCAAGUUAGAGAAUGACCCAUCUUUGACAAGACAAACAAUUAUAUUUGUUGAUCCCCAAAGGCAACCAACAAUGCAACUAAAAAUGCUUUUAGGAAGUCACUGGUAGCUUGUCUCCCCCAGGACUAGACGAGGUCUUGCUCUCAGGAGUAGUAAAACUCCACUUCAGAAUCAGUGAAUGAUUACUUUCAUUCAUUUAUUCAACAAAUAUAUACUGAACAAUGAUCAUGUCUCAGACACUGUGCUAGAUGCUGUAGGGUAAAUAAUAAUGAAAUUAGACACAGCUCCUGUCCUCAAUGAGUCUAAAAGAGAAGAGAGCCAUGGAUAAUAAGUACUACAGGACAUAAGGGGAAUGUGAAAUGACUAUAUGAACUAAGAGACAACAGACGCAGAUGGGCUUCUUGUAGCUUAUUGGUUGGGGAGGGCUUCAUGGGAAAGGGAACACCUGUGCUAGGUGGAAAUGAGUUGGUGACAGCAGAUUGGGGGUGGGCGAGGCACAGGCAAAGGUGUGACAGUACGGAGGCUCCAUCCCAGCCAAAGACAGCUGAAAUAUAGCGCCCGCCCCCACCCCCCACCCGGGAACUCCGCAGGAGAAUAAGGCUAGAAAUUUAGUUUGGGCUGAUUAGCAGAGAAUUUUCAAUGUUGCAUUACUAUCGCAUUGAAUAAUCAGAUGCUUUCUGCGCACUGAAUAUGAGGGCAAUAUAUUGUGUACCAAUUUGUUUUACAUAAAGACAUUUCUGGGGUGAUAUCUUGUUAAACAGGCCAUUUCAGAGACUAGGACUUGUAGUUCAAAAAUCAGUUACAAAGGGGACGCACGGGUAGGAUUUGAACUUCUCUUUGGCAUCCAUCCCAGCUUAUGGAAUUAGCAGUGAACUUGAAUC
RNAcentral lists this long non-coding RNA (2252 nucleotides) under Macaca fascicularis (crab-eating macaque). RNAcentral describes it as "lncRNA (ENSMFAG00000053541.1)". Lineage: Eukaryota; Metazoa; Chordata; Mammalia; Primates; Cercopithecidae. The record is from RNAcentral.